AUGGAGUCCUGCCCUGGUCUAACAUUUAUUAACUGGAGCUGGAGCGGCGGAGGCUUGUCUGGAUUCGCCUUCCUUGAGAAGCUAACUAUUUGGAAAUGCCCCGACCUGCUCUCGCCUUUGGUGCACAAAGACGGAAGGGAUGACGAUGCGAACGGGAGAUGGCUCCUCCCGCCAUCACUUGAAGAACUUGAAAUCAAUGACUAUUAUUCCCUCGGAACACUGCAACCCUGCUUUCCUAGAGAUAGCACCAGCCUUAAAAAGUUUGUGGUAGAGUGGGGUCAUGAUUUGCAUACUAUACAGCUGCACUCAUGCACGGCGCUAGAACAAUUGGAGAUUAAAUGGUGUGUGUCCCUCACAGCACUAGAGGGCUUGCAGUUCCUUGGCAGACUCACGCAUUUGGAAGUAUCAUGCUGCCCUGGUUUGGUGCAUGAGGCCAACGGAAGAUGGCUCCUCCCAACAUCACUUCGCCAACUUGAAAUCAACAAUAGCCAUUCCCAACAAACCCUGCAACCUUGCUUUCCUACAGAUAGCACCAGCCUUGAAAGUUUAAAGGUACGGAAGAGCCCAGAUUUGCAAUCUAUACAGUUGCACUCUUGCACAGCACUGGAAGAAUUGACGAUUGGGGAUUGUGGAUCGCUUACUGCACUAGAGGGGUUGCAAUGCCUUGGCAGACUCAGGCAUUUGUAUGUAUCAGAUUGCCCUGGCUUGCCACCAUUUCUGGGGAGCUUUUCAAGGCCGGACUGUGGGAUCUGCCCCCGGCUGGAAAGGCUUGAGAUCGAUGAACCAUCUGUCCUUACCACAUCAUUCUGCAAGCACCUCACCUCCCUGCAAAGCCUACAACUUUAUCGUUUUGAGAAAGUGAGUAGACUAACAGAUGAGCAAGAGCGAGCGCUUGUGCUCCUCAAGUCCCUGAAAGAGCUCCGAUUUUUCUUUUGUUAUGAUCUCGUAGACCUUCCUGCGCGUCUGCGCGACCUUCCUUCCCUCCAGAGAUUGAAGAUAAAGUGGUGUGGGGGCAUCUCGAGGCUGCCCGUCACAGGCCUCCCACUUUCGCUGGAACAACUGGAAAUCUAUGAUUGCAGCAAGGAGCUAACUGAUGAAUGCAGGCUGCUACCACCGAGCAAGCUAAAUGUCAAAAUUGAUUGA
This 1143-nucleotide ribosomal RNA is filed under the name Triticum aestivum (bread wheat). RNAcentral's name for it is "partial small subunit ribosomal RNA". Lineage: Eukaryota; Viridiplantae; Streptophyta; Magnoliopsida; Poales; Poaceae. The record is from RNAcentral.